CCUCCGGUGGUGUAGAGGUAGUGCGUUGCGCUAUAAUCUAGGCGGCCUGGGUUCGAUUCCCAGGAGUA
Non-coding RNA from Albula glossodonta (roundjaw bonefish), 68 nucleotides. NCBI's taxonomy places the organism in Eukaryota, Metazoa, Chordata, Actinopteri, Albuliformes, Albulidae. The record is from the annotation of a GenBank genome assembly.